AGUACAUAUGGUUACCAGAGAAGAAGAUAGCAAUAUUUAAAAUUCAAUAGCAUCAAUGAACAUGUAUGUCAGAUCCCAGCCAUCACAUUACUUCUAGAUCAUUUGAAAUUCAUCCAGUAAUCAAAAUCUAUUUAACUAGUUCUGGAAUCAAACUACUUUAUCAACUCCAUAACAAAAUUCAUACUGUAAUUAAUACCAAUUGGACAUACCAUAACAAGAUUGGACAAAGCUUUUAAAAACUUUUAGGUCAAGCAUAUGUUUAAGGACAAAAAUAUCAUUGUAUUCAAAUACAGGUAUCAUCAAUAAAUCUUAGCAUAAAAAGACAGUAGUUUUGUUCAAUAAUACCGACUAACAAAUGAACUAAAAGCAGAUUUUGCUGAAUCCCCAUAAGCAAAGUGCUGCUAAAUGUG
Long non-coding RNA from Sarcophilus harrisii (Tasmanian devil), 410 nucleotides. RefSeq lists it as uncharacterized. The transcript has 2 exons. NCBI's taxonomy places the organism in Eukaryota, Metazoa, Chordata, Mammalia, Dasyuromorphia, Dasyuridae. The record is from RefSeq and is a predicted model, not a curated record.